UCUUUGGCUAAUAAUUUAUAAAUGAUUUAUAAUUAAUCAAAUCACUUUUAUCUACAAAUUUUAUAAAAUUCAAGAGUAUUAUACACUUAUUCAUAACUCAAUCUAUUUAUUUAUAAUAUUAAUCGUUUAUAAACCCUUCCCAAUCUGGCAUAUAUAUAUUUGAAACAUGCAACGCUUAGUUGGGUAACAAGCUUCACUAGUAAAAUAUAACUUUUUGAUCAAGUUUACUGAAAUAUCUUUAAGAGUUCAAGAAGCAAAUCUCACUACAGCAAGCCUCCUCACAUUGGGAAAACCAAAGCCAGGCCAGGGCCAAAAGCAGUUUUGGCCCCGGCAUUGAGCCUAGCCAAACUGUUGGAGUGCGAAAACGAAAUUAAUCAGAAAUUAAUAUUUUUUUUAAUUUAAUAAGUAAGAUCGUUUAGAUGUUCACGUGUAUGUCAUAACAAAAUUAAAAGAUUCGAAUCAUUUACCUAAGUUCAAUGAUCAACCUUGAAAUAACUCUGGUCUGCAAACUUCCGUCUCCUUUAAUUGCAAGAAUUUGGUGCUUCAAACCUUCAAGCAUUCUAUGAUAUUCUCCAACGCAAAGACUACACCGGUAUGUGGGCACAUUCUUUCAAUUAAUCCAGAAAUUAAUUCUUGAAUUUUUGGACUACAAGAAAAUAAUAUAUUUUCUCUCUCUUUUUCUCUCUACAAUUUUGAAUCUUGUGG
RNAcentral lists this long non-coding RNA (705 nucleotides) under Olea europaea subsp. europaea. Lineage: Eukaryota; Viridiplantae; Streptophyta; Magnoliopsida; Lamiales; Oleaceae. The record is from RNAcentral.